RNAcentral lists this ribosomal RNA (449 nucleotides) under uncultured bacterium. Its description in RNAcentral is "partial 16S ribosomal RNA". It matches the Rfam family "Bacterial small subunit ribosomal RNA", at positions 29 to 523 of the family's 1533-position model. The record is from RNAcentral.
AACGAACGCUGGCGGCAUGCCUAACACAUGCAAGUCGAACGAAGGCUUCGGCCUUAGUGGCGCACGGGUGCGUAACGCGUGGGAAUCUGCCCUUAGGUACGGAAUAACUCAGGGAAACUUGAGCUAAUACCGUAUAAUGACUUCGGUCCAAAGAUUUAUCGCCUGAGGAUGAGCCCGCGUCGGAUUAGCUAGUUGGUGAGGUAAAAGCUCACCAAGGCGACGAUCCGUAGCUGGUCUGAGAGGAUGAUCAGCCACACUGGGACUGAGACACGGCCCAGACUCCUACGGGAGGCAGCAGUGGGGAAUAUUGGACAAUGGGCGAAAGCCUGAUCCAGCAAUGCCACGUGAGUGAUGAAGGCCUUAGGGUUGUAAAGCUCUUUUACCCGGGAUGAUAAUGACAGUACCGGGAGAAUAAGCCCCGGCUAACUCCGUGCCAGCAGCCGCCGCAG